Non-coding RNA from Pogona vitticeps (central bearded dragon), 966 nucleotides. The record is from RefSeq and is a predicted model, not a curated record. NCBI's taxonomy places the organism in Eukaryota, Metazoa, Chordata, Lepidosauria, Squamata, Agamidae.
GACCGCCUGCUGCAAAUCAGCAGAAUAGUUAAAAGGAGCAGCUGGCUUUUUUCCCCCCACGUAGGAUUUCCAGUGAAAAGUAGCAGCAAACGGUAGGAAUUUGACGCUCCAGCAGGAGCUGUGAAAAUCCGAGUUCAGGUCACAUCAACCGCAGAUGCAGGGCUUCGAAAGGGCAGAUUAUUCCCUCACACGGGGAAGAAAAUUGGAUUAAAAUCUAUGAAACUCUACUUUCACAAUUAAGGCCAGAUGGCUUUGUUUCCCCAUUAUUACUGUCCUCGUAUGUGACUCCGGGCGGCCUCCAUUUCAAGGGGUUUCUAAACCUGCCCAAGGAUGUUUCACUCUGAAUAUUCUCUGCACACGGACAUUGGUUUUUCUCAGCUUCUACAACUGCAGCUCAUAGUUAAAAGAACUUUUAAGGCUCUGACUAACGACAAACGAACAAAAUAAAAUUGGCGCCAUAGAAAUUUGUGGGAGAGUUUUUCUCUCUUUCUCUAGCUAAUGAAACAGCUGAUGGGUGCUAGAAAAAGGUUUGCAGCAAAAUCUUCCAGUUCUGGUGCAGCGGCUAGAGCUGACGUUAAAAUACAGUACCACAAUUAGAUUUUAAAGUGUUACAACGUUUUUCUUUCUUUCUUGUGUUUUUGGUCGACCUGCAACCUAAGAGACUCAUGGCUGAGAUAUUAAUUUAUUUAAUUUAAUUGAUACAUCGCCCACCAGGCAACAAGACCACUCCAGGCAGCUGGCAACAAAAUAAAACUCUAAGCAACAUUUAUCCACAUUGAACACGGCCUUCAAAAUCAUUUAUAAAGCAAUAGACGCAAACUGACCGGUAUAACUUUAAAAAUAUAGAUCACACACACAAAAAACCUUCAUUGAAUAGAGAUUGUUAUUCAAACUGCCUCAAACAAAGUGGACUAGACUAGAUUACAUGCUUGUCUCUACCAGGGUCCUCCCUUGGCCGCCAGAGAU